This is a long non-coding RNA of Centrocercus urophasianus (Greater sage-grouse), 4121 nucleotides long. RefSeq lists it as uncharacterized. NCBI's taxonomy places the organism in Eukaryota, Metazoa, Chordata, Aves, Galliformes, Phasianidae. The record is from RefSeq and is a predicted model, not a curated record. The transcript has 3 exons.
GAUCCUUCCCCUCUCGUAGCCAGCUCUUAAAUAGGUCUCUGGUCUUAAAUAGUUAUGAAAUGAAAAUUGUGUGCUGUGAAACCAACAGUUACUCCUGUGGUAAUAAAUUUGGUCUGCAGAGAAAGAGAAAAUGAACUGAAAGCAAAACGUUGAAAUCAAAUUGUGGGAUAGGUUUUUUGACGUUGUGGAUGACCAUGAGGAUCGGCAUCUGUAGCAACCAGAGCCCAUCUCAGUCCUGCAGGGAGUCGCUUUGUAAACGCAGUUUUCCUGCCAACGAAGUUUGUUUGCUUGGUGAUAAGAAACAAUGGUCAACUGGAUGUGCUACUUAAGCAUUUUAGUGCUUGAGAAGAGGAAUCUAGAUUUGUGCUAAACCUAUUUUCUUAGUCAAAUGCCGGCUUGGCAGCCUAUCUGGAAAGCUGGUAGCACCGUGGCAGAGUGAUUAUGAGGAUUGUUUUCAGCAGUCUCUGGUAAGUCUGCUUUUAAGAAAGUUCUUUCGUUAAGGAAAACACAGUUCUUAUCUUCGGGAUUGGAAAGACUGCAUGAGAAAAAGGCACGGGCAUUGCUGGGUGCUCAGGGUCGUACUUUUCAAGGUGCCUGAAAAGCAGUGAUGGUUUUGGCUUUGAGAAAGACUACUGUUCAUCCACUAGAGUGAUAUUAGCUGCAAUUAACUGAUAUUCCAGUUAUGUAUGAAGGACUCCAUUUUUGUUCUGCUAAGGAAAGCAUAGUUAUAUUGGUUUAAGUUUGUUUAUUCCAUUUCCUACAUCUGGGGGUCGUUGUACUCUAAUACAGGCUCUUUUUCUUAUGGUAGCAAGACGUGCUUGCAGUGGGACGGCACGAUUGGUGUGUGACCUCGCCCAGGCCUGAAGUUGUGCCCUCACUGUGUGCUGUGCCUUGGGGUGAAGCCAGAUGGUGUCUGACACUGGGUGAGCAGACUUCCAGAGACAACGCACUCUAGGUUCCAUCCUUUUUUACUGGUGUUUCAAACAAGUUAUUCCUGUACUCUGCAGAAAGCCUCACGACCACAAAACCAGCAAUAAUUGUGUAAAUGAUAAGCUUGUCUUCCUCCUCCUUUAUCCAGAUAUUCUGAGUGCGACAGACAGCAGAGAUGUGCAUUGCUGGAAUCCAGAGAGUUUCAUAAUGUGGCAGUCGCUUGCUGUGAAUGCCACUGCAUAAAUAAGACAACAUUUAUUUUAAGUACUGAGAAACAUUCUAAGUAGAAGAAAAAAGUGUUCAGGUGAAGCCAGUCCCAUUUGUUUACAAGUCUUGGUUUUGUUCUUCAUACAUAUUAAUGCUUUUCAUUUGUAUUCUGAUUUUUUGAACCUUUCAAGUUCAUGCUUUCCUUCUUUUUUUUCUUUCUUUUUUUUUUCCUUUUCGUGCAACAAGAAAGUCUGGAUUGAGACCUUACUUUAAAAAGGAAAAUCUGGUUGAACGUCCUGUAUAACCAUGCAACUCCAGACAAAGGGUGUUUAAAAAAUACACUUUGAGAAAAUUGCUCAUCUUGAGAGCAGUUUUCAGCUCUGAGUUUAAGUAAUUUAAGUAAAUACUUCGUUGACAGUUUAAGAAGCUUCUAACAACACCUAUCUCUGUUUGCUUUUCAGGGAGGUCUCUCUUCUACUCUUCUGAACAUUUAGAGCUUGUUUCACCUCUGUAUGUGCUGAUGAAGUCAGAAAUGUGGUGUACCAGCAUGACUAACGUGUGUUGAAUAAUGCAUACAGAUGCUUUCAGAAAUGCAUGCACAGAUUUCAUGCAGUUGUUCCCUUAAGCUGCUGAGCAGUAGGGGGGGUGCAGAGCCGUCCUCAGGGCAGCAGGAGGAGAUGGGUUGGCAUCCAGGGAGGAGCAGAAAACCUCUGUGAUUCCCUGAGGAAAUCAUAAAUGCCUUCAAGGCCUUAAGCUUCGUAGCCUGGUGUUUAACCCUGUGCUUGUUGUUGGAAUGCUGUUAACAUAUAAGUGAUUUCUUCUAGUUCAGGCUGCUGAAUAUACUCAUUUUAAAUUCAUUGUUGUUUGUUGCAGUGCUGUUCUCAAGCUGUACACAUCAAGACAAGGAGGAGACAUCCUUCCUCAGCUCAAAGAUUCUGUCUCUCCCUGCUAUGGAUGCAAGUACGAGCGCCUGGCCAUACGUUCCCCAGGGUGCAGACAGCUUUCUGACCAGCUGCUCUCCCUGUUCUAUCCCUAGCAGUAACAUCCAGGGAAAGCAGAGGCCACUGCUCUCCUGUGGCUGUGUAAGAGCCCCGUUCUGGGCUCGCAGGCUAGGUGCUCCAGAAUGGCGUUUCUAGGAGGUUGCUGCUCCACUUGUGUGGUUUCAAUCGCUUAAGUCUUUGGCCUUGUGCCUUGAAGUGCCAGCAGAGACAUGCUGUAAUUGCCCGUAAACGCACCUUCUGUCAUAUCAUUGUUUAAUUAUUCCAGCUUCUCACUGCCACGCACUGCUUACUGUCUCUCCUGCUAUCUUUAUUUAAUUGAGUGGAAAAAGUCUGAGACUUGUGCUUCACUCACGUCGCUUUGUAUUUAUCCAGCAUCACUGGAUCCUGCUUUGAAGUGCCGGCUUUUGUAUGCAGAAGUCGGUCUUCUAUACAGAAAAAAUAAUGUCUAUGUCAAAAGCGUGUGUUAGAAAUAGAAUCAAUAUUUUAACAUAUGGUAAACUCUGGCCAUAAAGCUCUUAACACAGUCAAAUGAUUGUAUUAUUAUCCUUUGAAACUUGGCUCUGCCCCUGAGAAACAAGGAAGGGAAAGAAAACUCGAAUAACCAAGCCCUUGUCCUCACAGUGCAGGACUGUUCUCAGUCUGUCGCUUUGUCUGUGCCACUUCUUCCUUUUCUGUCUCCCAGCUCUGUUUUCUUCCACAUUGAAUGCAUUCAGCUCCAGGAGCCUUCUUUCCUCAGCCCAUCCCUAUGGAUCUGUUUUAGGGCAGUACCAGAUGUCAGUUCAGUCCCAAGAUUCACCCUGCAACAUCCCCAUGGGAGUUCCAGCACCGUUUCAGACAGCUCUAAAGCUUCUAUACCAAGCCUUGCAACUAACCAAAUAUUAAUGUGUAGAAAAAAAUAAUCUGAGAUCUCUCCAAUGCUCCCCUUGUCUGUAUGGCCUGUAAAAGACGUGGCAGCUUGUUGGCUGCUUUUCUUUCCUCCCCUUCCCUGUGUCAGUGACAAAUGCACAUUGUUUUUCUGGUCUUCAGUUCAGCUUUCAGUCUCUGAGCCAGAAAAACGCUUUGUGCAGCACCUAGCACACCAGAUCAGUAUCAAGGCAGCUGUGUGCUCCUACACCAACACGAAAUACUAGGGUUGCUGGCACUCACUCUGGCCUAGUUUGCCUCUCUCCUGGCAGGAGUUUGAUGACGUCCUCCUGGAAGAUCACUGUCCAUCUGAACAGAUCUAGCUUUCAGGAUCCUAUUUUAUUUCUUCAUAAAUUGUCAACUGAGAUUUUCAUUUGCAGGUGUGCUCCUUAUAGUGUUCGGCUCCUUGACUGAGCCAGCAUCAUUUUUGGGGUUGUACUUUCCGGCUUCCCAUAACUGUAAGAUUAUUCAUUUCAUACUAUUUUCUGAUUUAUUUUUCAUCCAUCUCUUUCCUGCUGGAAAGAGCAAUUUAUAUAAUGAUUUCACUGUGGAAUUGACUUCAAGCUUUACUGCUAUUUGUCACCAUUCAGGAAAUCCAUCCCUGGCUCCAGAAGAACACUCGGUCCCUGUCGACAGUCUGAAAGAGGGAGAGAAAAUAGAUAGCAGAGCUGCAGCUAUUAAGACCAACAGGCACAUAUUUUAUUCCAACUCAGUUUUCCAUUCCCAAAUGCCUUUUGAAGAAAAUCUUUUUUGUUUGAGAGAACAUGAAGGAAGGUUGUGGGUACUGGCUGUGCCAGCUCUUCCAGCCUCCCCACUUUCUGCAUACCUGUGACCAUGGCUGUACAGCCAGGAUUACAUCUAAGGUGAAGACAGAAAAACCAUGAUGAAGGCUUAUGCUAUUUUCAUGAUGGAUAUGAUGCUCACAAAAAUGAAAAGGUCUGUGUCAGUGAAGAUUUGGGAAGAAAUGGUGCUGCUAGGGGCUGAAAUUGAGCCGGAGCUCAGCUACCCGACAUCCCGUGGGUGGAUAUAAAAUUAACUACUCAAUUUGUGCAGAUUAAAAACAAAUCUUGCGUGUAUGAA